GGCUAACUCAGGGUCAUGUAAUUUUUGUCCUUCUCCUGGGAGGACACGCACAAGCAUGCACAUUCCCCAAGCGUGGUUAACUGAAAGCUGAGACUGCACCAAAAAGAGAGGAAUAAGGAGACCCUUCCUCAUCCCUUCCAGUUGAUCGCCUAGCCUCUUUGGACACAGCUGUCAUUCCAGUUUAUGCCCCUCCUUGCCAGAGAGCAGGGAUCUACCUCAAACAAACCCAGCUUCAAGAGGUGUUUUCGGUGAGGACAUCAGGACCUGGAAAGCCGACAGACAACGUGGAAGCUGGAAGAGGGAAGAAAACAUUUCUCUCUGUGAUUGUGCUUGGAAUAUGCUACAGAAAUGUCAGAG
Long non-coding RNA from Mustela erminea (ermine), 357 nucleotides. RefSeq lists it as uncharacterized. NCBI's taxonomy places the organism in Eukaryota, Metazoa, Chordata, Mammalia, Carnivora, Mustelidae. The record is from RefSeq and is a predicted model, not a curated record. The transcript is spliced from 2 exons.